GACAGAGGUCUCGAGCGUUAGGCGGAAUCACUGGGCUUAAAGCGUGUGUACGCGGAGUUCUAAGUACCUUGUGAAAUCCCACGGCUUAACCGUGGAACUGCUUGGUAUACUGGUUCUCUUGGGCCACUUAGGGGCUACCGGAACAAACGGUGGAGCGGUGAAAUGCGUAGAUAUCGUUUGGAACGCCAAUGGUGAAAACAGGUAGCUGGGAGUGUGCCGACGCUGAGACACGAAAGCCAGGGGAGCGAACGGG
This 253-nucleotide ribosomal RNA is filed under the name uncultured bacterium. RNAcentral's name for it is "partial 16S ribosomal RNA". It matches the Rfam family "Bacterial small subunit ribosomal RNA", at positions 524 to 776 of the family's 1533-position model. The record is from RNAcentral.